RNAcentral lists this ribosomal RNA (320 nucleotides) under uncultured bacterium. RNAcentral's name for it is "bacterial SSU rRNA". It matches the Rfam family "Bacterial small subunit ribosomal RNA", at positions 33 to 358 of the family's 1533-position model. The record is from RNAcentral.
ACGCUGGCGGCAUGCCUCCACAUGCAAGUCGAACGGUAACGCGGGGCAACCUGGCGACGAGUGGCGAACGGGUGAGUAAUACAUCGGAACGUGCCCAGUAGUGGGGGAUAGCCCGGCGAAAGCCGGAUUAAUACCGCAUACGACCUACGGGUGAAAGGGGGGGAUCGCAAGACCUCUCGCUACUGGAGCGGCCGAUAUCAGAUUAGGUAGUUGGUAAGGUAAAGGCCUACCAAGCCGACGAUCUGUAGCUGGUCUGAGAGGACGACCAGCCACUCUGGGACUGAGACACGGCCCAUACUCCUACGGGAAGCAGCAAUGGG